AGUGAACGCUGGCGGUAGGCCUAACACAUGCAAGUCGAACGGCAGCACAGUAAGAGCUUGCUCUUACGGGUGGCGAGUGGCGGACGGGUGAGGAAUACAUCGGAAUCUACUUUUUCGUGGGGGAUAACGUAGGGAAACUUACGCUAAUACCGCAUACGACCUACGGGUGAAAGCAGGGGAUCUUCGGACCUUGCGCGAUUGAAUGAGCCGAUGUCGGAUUAGCUAGUUGGCGGGGUAAAGGCCCACCAAGGCGACGAUCCGUAGCUGGUCUGAGAGGAUGAUCAGCGACACUGGAACUGAGACACGGUCCAGACUCCUACGGGAGGCAGCAGUGGGGAAUAUUGGACAAUGGGCGCAAGCCUGAUCCAGCCAUACCGCGUGGGUGAAGAAGGCCUUCGGGUUGUAAAGCCCUUUUGUUGGGAAAGAAAAGCAGCAGGUUAAUACCCCGCUAUUCUGACGGUACCCAAAGAAUAAGCACCGGCUAACUUCGUG
RNAcentral lists this ribosomal RNA (492 nucleotides) under uncultured bacterium. RNAcentral's name for it is "partial 16S ribosomal RNA". It matches the Rfam family "Bacterial small subunit ribosomal RNA", at positions 29 to 507 of the family's 1533-position model. The record is from RNAcentral.